RNAcentral lists this ribosomal RNA (2927 nucleotides) under Escherichia coli. RNAcentral describes it as "23S ribosomal RNA". It matches the Rfam family "Bacterial large subunit ribosomal RNA". Lineage: Bacteria; Pseudomonadati; Pseudomonadota; Gammaproteobacteria; Enterobacterales; Enterobacteriaceae. The record is from RNAcentral.
GGGUUGUGAGGUUAAGCGACUAAGCGUACACGGUGGAUGCCCUGGCAGUCAGAGGCGAUGAAGGACGUGCUAAUCUGCGAUAAGCGUCGGUAAGGUGAUAUGAACCGUUAUAACCGGCGAUUUCCGAAUGGGGAAACCCAGUGUGAUUCGUCACACUAUCAUUAACUGAAUCCAUAGGUUAAUGAGGCGAACCGGGGGAACUGAAACAUCUAAGUACCCCGAGGAAAAGAAAUCAACCGAGAUUCCCCCAGUAGCGGCGAGCGAACGGGGAGCAGCCCAGAGCCUGAAUCAGUGUGUGUGUUAGUGGAAGCGUCUGGAAAGGCGCGCGAUACAGGGUGACAGCCCCGUACACAAAAAUGCACAUGCUGUGAGCUCGAUGAGUAGGGCGGGACACGUGGUAUCCUGUCUGAAUAUGGGGGGACCAUCCUCCAAGGCUAAAUACUCCUGACUGACCGAUAGUGAACCAGUACCGUGAGGGAAAGGCGAAAAGAACCCCGGCGAGGGGAGUGAAAAAGAACCUGAAACCGUGUACGUACAAGCAGUGGGAGCACAGAGCAAUCUGUGUGACUGCGUACCUUUUGUAUAAUGGGUCAGCGACUUAUAUUCUGUAGCAAGGUUAACCGAAUAGGGGAGCCGAAGGGAAACCGAGUCUUAACUGGGCGUUAAGUUGCAGGGUAUAGACCCGAAACCCGGUGAUCUAGCCAUGGGCAGGUUGAAGGUUGGGUAACACUAACUGGAGGACCGAACCGACUAAUGUUGAAAAAUUAGCGGAUGACUUGUGGCUGGGGGUGAAAGGCCAAUCAAACCGGGAGAUAGCUGGUUCUCCCCGAAAGCUAUUUAGGUAGCGCCUCGUGAAUUCAUCUCCGGGGGUAGAGCACUGUUUCGGCAAGGGGGUCAUCCCGACUUACCAACCCGAUGCAAACUGCGAAUACCGGAGAAUGUUAUCACGGGAGACACACGGCGGGUGCUAACGUCCGUCGUGAAGAGGGAAACAACCCAGACCGCCAGCUAAGGUCCCAAAGUCAUGGUUAAGUGGGAAACGAUGUGGGAAGGCCCAGACAGCCAGGAUGUUGGCUUAGAAGCAGCCAUCAUUUAAAGAAAGCGUAAUAGCUCACUGGUCGAGUCGGCCUGCGCGGAAGAUGUAACGGGGCUAAACCAUGCACCGAAGCUGCGGCAGCGACGCUUAUGCGUUGUUGGGUAGGGGAGCGUUCUGUAAGCCUGUGAAGGUGUACUGUGAGGUAUGCUGGAGGUAUCAGAAGUGCGAAUGCUGACAUAAGUAACGAUAAAGCGGGUGAAAAGCCCGCUCGCCGGAAGACCAAGGGUUCCUGUCCAACGUUAAUCGGGGCAGGGUGAGUCGACCCCUAAGGCGAGGCCGAAAGGCGUAGUCGAUGGGAAACAGGUUAAUAUUCCUGUACUUGGUGUUACUGCGAAGGGGGGACGGAGAAGGCUAUGUUGGCCGGGCGACGGUUGUCCCGGUUUAAGCGUGUAGGCUGGUUUUCCAGGCAAAUCCGGAAAAUCAAGGCUGAGGCGUGAUGACGAGGCACUACGGUGCUGAAGCAACAAAUGCCCUGCUUCCAGGAAAAGCCUCUAAGCAUCAGGUAACAUCAAAUCGUACCCCAAACCGACACAGGUGGUCAGGUAGAGAAUACCAAGGCGCUUGAGAGAACUCGGGUGAAGGAACUAGGCAAAAUGGUGCCGUAACUUCGGGAGAAGGCACGCUGAUAUGUAGGUGAAGUCCCUCGCGGAUGGAGCUGAAAUCAGUCGAAGAUACCAGCUGGCUGCAACUGUUUAUUAAAAACACAGCACUGUGCAAACACGAAAGUGGACGUAUACGGUGUGACGCCUGCCCGGUGCCGGAAGGUUAAUUGAUGGGGUUAGCGCAAGCGAAGCUCUUGAUCGAAGCCCCGGUAAACGGCGGCCGUAACUAUAACGGUCCUAAGGUAGCGAAAUUCCUUGUCGGGUAAGUUCCGACCUGCACGAAUGGCGUAAUGAUGGCCAGGCUGUCUCCACCCGAGACUCAGUGAAAUUGAACUCGCUGUGAAGAUGCAGUGUACCCGCGGCAAGACGGAAAGACCCCGUGAACCUUUACUAUAGCUUGACACUGAACAUUGAGCCUUGAUGUGUAGGAUAGGUGGGAGGCUUUGAAGUGUGGACGCCAGUCUGCAUGGAGCCGACCUUGAAAUACCACCCUUUAAUGUUUGAUGUUCUAACGUUGACCCGUGAUCCGGGUUGCGGACAGUGUCUGGUGGGUAGUUUGACUGGGGCGGUCUCCUCCUAAAGAGUAACGGAGGAGCACGAAGGUUGGCUAAUCCUGGUCGGACAUCAGGAGGUUAGUGCAAUGGCAUAAGCCAGCUUGACUGCGAGCGUGACGGCGCGAGCAGGUGCGAAAGCAGGUCAUAGUGAUCCGGUGGUUCUGAAUGGAAGGGCCAUCGCUCAACGGAUAAAAGGUACUCCGGGGAUAACAGGCUGAUACCGCCCAAGAGUUCAUAUCGACGGCGGUGUUUGGCACCUCGAUGUCGGCUCAUCACAUCCUGGGGCUGAAGUAGGUCCCAAGGGUAUGGCUGUUCGCCAUUUAAAGUGGUACGCGAGCUGGGUUUAGAACGUCGUGAGACAGUUCGGUCCCUAUCUGCCGUGGGCGCUGGAGAAUUGAGGGGGGCUGCUCCUAGUACGAGAGGACCGGAGUGGACGCAUCACUGGUGUUCGGGUUGUCAUGCCAAUGGCACUGCCCGGUAGCUAAAUGCGGAAGAGAUAAGUGCUGAAAGCAUCUAAGCACGAAACUUGCCCCGAGAUGAGUUCUCCCUGACUCCUUGAGAGUCCUGAAGGAACGUUGAAGACGACGACGUUGAUAGGCCGGGUGUGUAAGCGCAGCGAUGCGUUGAGCUAACCGGUACUAAUGAACCGUGAGGCUUAACCUUACAACGCCGAAG